UGGGGAAUAUUGCACAAUGGGCGCAAGCCUGAUGCAGCCAUGCCGCGUGUAUGAAGAAGGCCUUCGGGUUGUAAAGUACUUUCAGCGAGGAGGAAGGCGGUAAGGUUAAUAACCUUAUCGAUUGACGUUACUCGCAGAAGAAGCACCGGCUAACUCCGUGCCAGCAGCCGCGGUAAUACGGAGGGUGCAAGCGUUAAUCGGAAUUACUGGGCGUAAAGCGCACGCAGGCGGUCUGUCAAGUCGGAUGUGAAAUCCCCGGGCUCAACCUGGGAACUGCAUUCGAAACUGGCAGGCUAGAGUCUUGUAGAGGAGGGUAGAAUUCCAGGUGUAGCGGUGAAAUGCGUAGAGAUCUGGAGGAAUACCGGUGGCGAAGGCGGCCCCCUGGACAAAGACUGACGCUCAGGUGCGAAAGCGUGGGGAGCAAACA
This 427-nucleotide ribosomal RNA is filed under the name uncultured bacterium. Its description in RNAcentral is "partial 16S ribosomal RNA". It matches the Rfam family "Bacterial small subunit ribosomal RNA", at positions 355 to 774 of the family's 1533-position model. The record is from RNAcentral.